UAAACCAGAAAAAUGAAACAGCAUCAUCAGUGUCUCAAAUUGUCAAAUGACUGGGAGGAAAACCCUUGGCCCAGGAGAGAUCACGGAAGGCUGGUCACAAACCAAGCCAGAUGUUGACUUUCUUAAGACCAGCGAAUAGAGACAGGAGUUUCUUUUAUACUUAGAGAAACCAGAGAGUUUCACGGUAGCGUAACAACACGAGUGAUGAUGGAAUGGAAGAAAGAGAACUAAAGGAGAGCCAUCAAAUCAGACAAAAGCUAUCUGUCUCUUUGGAGAGACAACCUCUGGGCUCAUCCACUGCAUUACAUUCUUAGAGCUUGUAGAAGAGCGGUCAUUAAAUAUUUUCAAGGCUACAGACUCCUUCAAGAAUUGAUAAAAGCUAUAGAACUUCUUUCCACAAAAAUGCAUGUAUUGCACACUGAAUGUCUGCAUGCAGUCCUUGAGGGGAGGACCUCUGAGGCCUAUCUCUGAGUCUGCAGUGUCCAUGAGCCCAUGUCAGGAAUUCCUGCAACACACAUUAUGUGAUUUUAAAAUACUUAAAUGAAAGUUUUUUCCAGUGUCCUCCAGAAGCAAAUUCCAUUAAACAAGCCAAUGUGUAUAAUAUUACCCUAGAAAUUCGAGAGUUGGUGUGAUGCAAAUGGGAGAUAUGAGCAUGUGUGUGCAUGUGUGUGUGCUUGUGUAUACCUUCACAUCUUAUCUAUAAAC
Molecule: long non-coding RNA, 705 nt
Filed under: Homo sapiens (human)
Lineage: Eukaryota; Metazoa; Chordata; Mammalia; Primates; Hominidae
Description: HSALNT0298281
Source: RNAcentral